CCUACGGGGGGCUGCAGUGGGGAAUAUUGCACAAUGGGGGAAACCCUGAUGCAGCGACGCCGCGUGAAGGAUGAAGUAUUUCGGUAUGUAAACUUCUAUCAGCAGGGAAGAAAGUGACGGUACCUGACUAAGAAGCCCCGGCUAACUACGUGCCAGCAGCCGCGGUAAUACGUAGGGGGCAAGCGUUAUCCGGAUUUACUGGGUGUAAAGGGAGCGUAGACGGGAUAGCAAGUCUGAAGUGAAAGCCCGGGGCUCAACCCCGGGACUGCUUUGGAAACUGUUGACCUGGAGUGCUGGAGAGGCAAGUGGAAUUCCUAGUGUAGCGGUGAAAUGCGUAGAUAUUAGGAGGAACACCAGUGGCGAAGGCGGCUUGCUGGACAGUGACUGACGUUGAGGCUCGAAAGCGUGGGGAGCAAACAGGAUUAGAUACCCUAGUAGUC
Molecule: ribosomal RNA, 440 nt
Filed under: uncultured bacterium
Lineage: Bacteria
Description: bacterial SSU rRNA
Rfam family: Bacterial small subunit ribosomal RNA
Source: RNAcentral